UACGAAGGGGGCUAGCGUUGCUCGGAAUCACUGGGCGUAAAGCGCACGUAGGCGGGUCCUUAAGUCAGGGGUGAAAUCCUGGAGCUCAACUCCAGAACUGCCUUUGAUACUGAGGAUCUCGAGUUCGGGAGAGGUGAGUGGAACUGCGAGUGUAGAGGUGAAAUUCGUAGAUAUUCGCAAGAACACCAGUGGCGAAGGCGGCUCACUGGCCCGAUACUGACGCUGAGGCACGAAAGCGUGGGGAGCAAACAGG
This 253-nucleotide ribosomal RNA is filed under the name uncultured bacterium. Its description in RNAcentral is "partial 16S ribosomal RNA". It matches the Rfam family "Bacterial small subunit ribosomal RNA", at positions 524 to 776 of the family's 1533-position model. The record is from RNAcentral.